CAGCCGCCGCGGUAAUACGUAGGGGGCGAGCGUUGUCCGGAAUUACUGGGCGUAAAGGGCGUGUAGGCGGCCUGUUAAGUCAGGGGUGAAAGACCGGGGCUCAACCCCGGGGGUGCCUCUGAAACUGGCGGGCUUGAGUGCUCUAGAGGGCAGUGGAAUUCCCGGUGUAGCAGUGAAAUGCGUAGAGAUCGGGAGGAACACCAGUGGCGAAGGCGGCUGCCUGGGGAGUCACUGACGCUGAGGCGCGAAAGCUAGGGGAGCAAACAGGAUUAGAUACCCUGGUAGUCCUAGCCGUAAACGAUGAGCGCUAUGUGUGAGGGGUAUCGACCCCCCUCGUGCAGUAGCUAACGCAUUAAGCGCUCCGCCUGGGGAGUACGGCCGCAAGGUUGAAACUUAAAGGAAUUAGGCGGG
RNAcentral lists this ribosomal RNA (411 nucleotides) under uncultured microorganism. Its description in RNAcentral is "bacterial SSU rRNA". It matches the Rfam family "Bacterial small subunit ribosomal RNA", at positions 509 to 918 of the family's 1533-position model. The record is from RNAcentral.